GAACCCCUGCUGUGUGCGUGGUAAACCGAUGAUUUUUUGAGCCAACACUAACACAUAGGGAGCCCGGACUCUGAUUGUGGCAUAUAAGCCUCCAAAGAGGGGACAUAUAAAGCAAUCAGGAGGGCACCCACCUGUUGAGAGGCAGGACUCAAAAAGAUCGGACCACGGCAUGGUGGGGUUUUU
Molecule: non-coding RNA, 183 nt
Filed under: Bacillota bacterium
Lineage: Bacteria; Bacillati; Bacillota
Also listed under: 1 other name
Description: 6S RNA
Rfam family: 6S / SsrS RNA
About the family: E. coli 6S RNA was the first non coding RNA to be sequenced, but its function was unknown until recently.
Source: RNAcentral